RNAcentral lists this long non-coding RNA (3312 nucleotides) under Sus scrofa (pig). RNAcentral's name for it is "lncRNA (multiple genes)". The record is from RNAcentral. Lineage: Eukaryota; Metazoa; Chordata; Mammalia; Artiodactyla; Suidae.
AUGUUAUUUAAUUUCUCUGUACCUCAGUUUUCUUACCUGCAAAGUGGAGAUGAUAAUAGUACCUAUUUUAUGGGUUUUGUGGGGUGUUGAAUAAAUAUAUAUGGAGUGCUUUCAACAUUGUCUGGCAAAGAGCAAGCACUCAAUGAACCUUAGCUACCAUCCUCCUCCUCAUCAUGCUUUUCUACAUCUUACAAAAUAUCUGCAGUAAGUCCAGCUACCUACGCACAAUAUUUUAAAAAAGAAAUAUCACAUAGCUAGGGGAACAUAACCUUUUAGGUCAAUAAAGUGAAACAAAAUUGGGAAGAUGUGUGGUGAGAUACCAUGAAAAGGAGGUUGCUGAUAUAGACACAGGAGGGAUGGGAAAGAAAACAAGGGAAGGAGAAAGAAAAAGAGUUGAAAAGGAGGGGACAGAUGAUGGACUGGCAAGAAUUAGGGAUGGGGAGAGCCAGGCAUAUGUAUUCAAAGUUGCUCCAUGGAACUCGACCUCACUGCUCUAACACCUUGAGGAGGGCACUCACAGAAUUGCAACUGCUCCCCACUCCCUUACCCAGUCUGUAAAGGGGCAGUGGGUGGGCAGGGGGAAGUGAGUAGGAGUAAAAGCAGGAAUCGAAAGGUGAGAAAAUGGAAGCUGAGAAAGGUAAAUUGGCCUGUGAAGGUCCCAGCUGUUGCUGGCAACCCCGGGUCUAGAACUCAGCUUUCAGGAUAUCCAGACCCUUUCCAAAACCCCUCCACCCAACUGACCAAUUUCUGUACCUUGCAGCAUAAAUGUAAAACCUCACCCAAUAAUUUAGAAUCUGCACCUUGGCCAUUAGGAUGGAACAAAGAUGCUGGCCAAAGUUUCCAUCAGUGACCCAUGGAUGUCUGGCAAAAACCCAUAUGUUACCAUCUGCCCUCUACUGCCCUCUUGCCAUCUCCCAAACCUUCUGGUGCUGUUUUCUAGACCUGUCUAGAGAACAGUCAGGGCAGGCACCAAGCCAUUUGCUUCAUCAGUUAAUAAGACAUUGUGUUUGCUGUGCAAAAUGUAAGGGGAAGAAUCCAUUGGGUAUUCAAGUUUUACACCAGCCAGUGGACACGUGCAGUCAGAGUGCCCUGGCUGAGCAAGACUCAGAAACGUCCUCCUCUUCUAAGCUGAUGGGCUUACCAUCUAGAACCAUAGGCUCAAUGAAAAUGCUAUUUUUGCUUUUUGGGGAGGACAUCUAUAGAAUAUUUGGUACUAUAAUUUGCAAACAGUGGUCAGACUUAAGUAUAUAUUUAAUAUGUGGGGAUAGCUGUGUUAUUUUUUCUGCCACUCAUUUGACUGGAUUGCUGGCUCAAACAUGUGCCCUGUAAGGGAAACUUUCAUUUGUUUGCAUGUGUUUUGGUUUGUAAAAGGUGGGAGUAAGCCCUGCAAGUCAACCUCUGUCAUCAUACAAGGGGCAUUCCAGGGGCCUCCUUACCAGGCUACCUUGGAGAUGUCCAGACCCAAGAUGCUCAGUCUAACUUUGAUCAGAGUCAGUUUAAUACAAGGAACAGGGAGAAUGUAGAAUUGACAUCCAUUAAUUAAGACUAUUUAAUGAUAUUUUCUAAGGAAAAAGGUGUGAGUUGUGUCAUCUGCUAUCUGGCAGCCACCAAAACCAAACCCCCACCCCAGCAGUGAACAAAGAUUGGCACCCAGGGAAGAUCAUGGGAUGGUAUCUCUUGCCAUACUUGGGCUGGUAUGGAGUCUGAGACACUGUUUCUUAAAAUACCACAUUCUUUGAGAGGAGGGUUAGUGUAAAAAUCAUGGCCCCCUGAAUCGGUCUAAUUUAUGCUUCUAGGAGUAUUAUUCUCUUCUAAUGCCAAAGCUUCACGACACCUGAGAAAAUAAAUAGGAAUGUCUUUGUGGUUGUGAACUUGAAGUGAAUGACAAUUUUGAGAGACAUACGAAAAUUUUAUUUCCUUAUUUUCCUCAUUCCUCUUAAGAUUGUGGUCUGAACUUGCUCACGUCUAAGACCUUUCUCAGAGGGCUUCUGGGAGCCUCCUCUCCCUUUGUUCCCUCUCGUCGGUGGGGAGUCACUGUGGAGCGAUACAGCUCAACACCAGCAGAUGGCAUGUGGCGUCAGGUUCCCGGCACUUGAACCUGGGAAAGCCAUCUUUUCUCAAUGGAGAAAUUCUAACUUUUAGUUAGGAAUUAAAAGUGAAAUUGUUUUAGCCAUUAGAUGCUGCGUUUGAUCAUCUAGCUGUGUCUUUCUAUGCCAUCUAGUUCAUCUGGGGUGGAAACAAGACCAAUAACUAAGACACUGUUUCAUUCAUUUCUUAAACUAGAAAUGGAUACGGCUCACCCUGUUCCGUGAUUGUCCAGGACAUUCUGGGAACCUCAUAGGAUGCUGAGGAAUGAAAUAACACGACCAGCAAAAAAUAUAUUCUGGGAAGAAGAAAAGAGAAUUUGAACACCUUCCCGGUGUGUUCUGAGCAUAGAAGCAGGUGCCCUUACCACCCUUGCCAUUCUCCUUUCCCAGCCCAGCAAAGAUGCCUGGGGUCAAAGCGGAAUGUCAUAGAAAGGCUGCUCCUGGAGUAUCGUUAGAGAUGGCCAAAAACAUCACUUGGGGUUUUUUGAAGAUAGGUUAUUUUCACAGUUAGCAAUAAGAAUUUAACUUGAUCUCUUGUUUUCUGGCCAGCAUUUUGGCACCCCCUCCUCUAGGCCUGGUAUCCCCAGCCUGGAACCUCUGUAGAGAAGAAGCUUCUAGUCUUGUAAGGGAAGAAGAGGGAAGAAGGGACAGGUGUAAAUGCUUGGCUUCAUGGGUGUGGAUGAAGGAACACAGAGGGCUACCUUCCAAAGAUCUUCAACUAAACCAUGUUUCAGCCUCCUGCUCCACCCUCACUUUCUAGAGUACACAGUAUCCCUAAGGCCUGACUCUUUCAGGAGCUCUUAGGAGAAAAUCACUCAUUAGAAAAAAGUCUUCUUUAGCAGGUACCUACCAUUCUCCGUGUUCAUAGCUUCCCACGUGGUUACUUCCCCAAGGAAGCGUUUCCUAGCAUCUCUCACAGGUAGGGAGCAGACAUGUGACCUAAGAUUUCACCAGUCAACCACAGCCCCUGAAAUGAGGAAACAGAUGAGGUUUUGAGCACUGUGCAUCUGAGUGGCAGAUGAAAGUGGCAGCAAAGAGUGGUGGUAGCAACAGCAUCCUCAUUAGGACACCUCUGUGGGACCUUCUGAGCUGUACUCCUAGGAGCCUAGCCUUGAGCCUCUUUUUCUCUAGACCUCCCACUGAGUCACCGAGCUGCUAAUAUCUCUUAAUGAAUGCUGCUUAAACCAGCAUGAGUGGAUUCUAUGGUUUGCAACUAACAGAAGAU